This is a long non-coding RNA of Lotus japonicus, 3756 nucleotides long. RefSeq lists it as uncharacterized. Lineage: Eukaryota; Viridiplantae; Streptophyta; Magnoliopsida; Fabales; Fabaceae. The transcript is spliced from 4 exons. The record is from RefSeq and is a predicted model, not a curated record.
CCCUGUCAUCACCUAGUUCCGCCACUGGGUGUAUAUAUCUGCAUUGUUAUUUUGAUCACAAACCAAACACACAUCCACCUCUAAGAUAUAAGAAGAGAAAAAAAAGAUAUGAUAGAUAUGAUAUCUACUACACUUUAAAAGAGACUCAAGAAAUCACUAUUCCUAAAAGAACUUUCAAUCUCAGCCGUCCAAUUGACUCUCUCUCCAUUUUCACUCUUUAAUCGUGGCCCUUCCUUUGUGAGACUUUUUUCGCCUCUAUUCUACUCGAGCGUAUGUGAUGAAGGAGAGGAGUGUUCUUGUUUCCCUGCUAAGCGUUCGUGAGUUAUCGUCAUGCCUGCUUGCCCUGUCCCUGUUGCGUGUUUAAGGUAUAAGGAAGGGGAUGAGGUCACUGAUCGUUGAAGGAGUUCUGGCUGAAGCUGAAGAGUGUGCCCGUCAUCUUCGUCAUUCUUGCAGAUCCCUUGUCCUGUUGCAGUUGUUAGGGGUAGGUGUACUUGUCGAAGGAAGGUUCGGUCUAAGCCUGGUUGAAGGAGGAAGUUGAAAUUUUAGGUUUUCCUGUUGACCAGGAUUUGGGGUAAAUUUCAUCACCCUGACCUAAGUUUCUGAUAAUAGAACUGUUGAUGAAGGUGUUUGAUUUGUUCAGAAUGUGUUGUCUGAAGGAGGAGAAUAGAUGUGUAUCAGAAGCCAUGUCAGGUUUGGUAUGCAUAGUUGUCAAGCAGGCCAACAAGCUCCUGCAGAUGAGUAUGGUAUCAAGUUCUUUGAGACUAGUGCAAAAACAAACGUGAAUGAGGAGGAGGUUUUAUUUUCAAUAGCAAGAAACAUCAAGCAGAGGCUUGCAGACACAGAUUCUAGAGCUGAGAUAAUUCUAAUGAAUUGGCUAAGAAUAAGGAUGAUGGAGAGGAUACAUUCAAGCUAUCCUAUUCUGAUGCUGAGUGAAGAAUUAAAGGAAAAGAACCUUCAGAAAAGUUUUGUUCCUUGAACAAACCUCAAAGAUGGAUGAGGUAUUAUGCUUGCAUUUGCAUUUGGGGCUGAGGUAUUAAUUUGUGGUGAGAAAAGAGGUGGGGGCGGUAGUUGUGGACUAAGGUGAUGGUUGUGGUAUGCAGGCAGAUGCUUAAGAAAGGGUGAAGGGUUCCUUAGUUGAGGGAGAAGGAGGUGUGGCGGCUGUGUGUUUUGGGUUAGGGAAGGGGAAGGUUGAGUCAGUGGUGGUGGCGGCACUAUUCAGGAGAGAACUUUUUUUGUUUUUGUUCCAAUUAUUUUUUGGCCCAACUUGUCCUAGCUGGUACAUCCUAUUAAUUUUUUUAGCCUAGCUUUUGGUUGGCCCAUGUCAUGUUAUAAUAGGUCAUCUUUUAUUUUUUUUAGUUUACCAUUUGUCCUUCCCAUCUGUCUGUCGUUUAACGGUGAGGAAGGAGAAGAGAGGAUGAUGGAAGAUGAUGGAAGGGAAUAGCAAGAGUGUGAGAAGAGAAGAUGAUGGAAGGGGAAGGACCAAGUGUACGGUUAGGGGAUGACUGAAAAUAUGACAUAUGCUGCUUCAUUCAAACAAGAAGGAGGAUAGAAGAAGGUUGAAGGAGAAGAGAAAAAUCCCACUGUUUGAUUAUCAGGUCUAUGUAGUAACCUUUUUGUCUUAACUUGUAUUGUUGCAAGGCUGAUAUGGGUGUUAUUCCUUUUAACCAACUUUGAAUUUAAAUCUAGCUAGCUACCAUAUGUCAAGUUAUAUCUAAUUGUUUGUAAAUGGAAUUAUAAAACCAACCAUUGGUUUGCAGUAUGAUAAUGUUUUUGUUUUGUUUGAUACAUGUGGUGCCAAGAAGGUUAUUAUCAAAGAUGUUGCUGCUCCGAAUUACACAUCUACAAAGCCAUGUAAAUAAGUUCCAAGUAAGUAUGUUUUAGUAAUCUUUGGUAUACUAUCCAAGUCUAAUCAGAAAUGUAAAUUCUCAUUGACCUAUUCAUCAAUGAGUUAUUUAGUUAAUCUUAUUUAAGAAUGUAUUUGACCACAUUAAAAAAAUUGAUUUUUUUCUCAUCCCGUGACAUUGAUAUGUUCAGUUCAUUUUUCAUACGCAUAAAGUAUGAUAAGUAGCUUGAUUUAGUGAUUGUCAUUUUGAAAGGUUGCAUACAACUUUCUUCCAAGUAAUUUAAUAAUGAAUUACUUUCAUGGUAAAAUGGCAGCUUUCAUCCUCACCGUAUAAGCAUGAUUAGUAACUUAAAUACAUGUUUUCUGUAGUUUUUAAACUUUAAUCCCUUUUGCAAUCAGGGGUAAAUAAUGAUAAGUAAGAAAUUAUGGUUUGGUUUUAUGCUGAACAUGAUUAGAUUUGUCAUGGAACUUCACUUCUUUUCCUCGGUUUCCAGGUUCUGUGACUACUUUGUAUUUUUUCUAUCCAAGAACUUACUUUUACAUAAAAGUUUGUGAUAGAGAAGUUUGUUAUUUCAAAUCAAGUGAUAUUAUUUUGGUCAGCUCAAAGGGUUGGAGGGUUUGUCUCAAGAAGAGCUAUUUCUAUGGCUACCUGUGAAGGAUAGAAUUGUAAAUGAUCCAUCAUUAGGUCUCAUUUUCAUUGAUAUUGGUCUUGCCUACAAACAACUCUCCCUGUCUCUCUUAGAAGUUCCCCCAAUUCGCAGAUCUAAAUGUAACUAUCUCUUUUGUGUUUGUGUAUUUAUAGCUGUUAUUUAUUGAUGAUAACUUCAAAUUUGAAUACAAAUCACUAUGUAAAAUUAUAUGCAUGCUAUUUUCAUCUCAUCCAUUAUUAUUUUUAGCAUAGUAAUUUAGAUCAGUUUCUUCUACUUAGAAUCAAUUAUGACAACUGAAGCUACUCACAUCAAUUUCUCCUCAUAAUUGAUUUUGUCUUUAAAAUCAACUAUUGAAGAAUUUUGAAACAUACAAUGAGACCGAAUGUAUUUCAAUUUUAAAGAUUUUGUUUUGUAUGUAGAAUUUUGGUCUAAAAGUAUAACAGAGCAUUUUCAUUCCUCAAUUUCUCCAAAUUCAAGGAAGUGUGUUUGUUCAUUUUAUUUAUGUGGGUGGUAUUAGGUUCAAUAUCAAGAUUCUUGACCUUAAUCUCAAAGAGAUUCAGUAUAGGUUGAGGACAUGUCAUGCUGCAACUGAUGUUGCAGGUCCAAGUAAUGUGAAUGAUAAUAUAUUGUUAGAGGAUGAAGGAGGUUAUAGUAUUGUUGAUUUAGUUAGUGAUAAUGAUUCUGUGGAAGAAGUUGAAGAUAUUGUGGGUUAUGAUCGGUUGAUGUGCACAUUUGAUACCAAUGUUGAUCUCAUAAGUGGCAGGGAACCUUUGGUUAGUUUUGUAUUUUUCCUUACUAUGUCAUGGUUUAAUAGUUAGUGUCAAUUGAAUUUCCAUACUUAAGGUUAUAAAUUCAAAUGAGCAGAUUAUCUCAGGUUGGGUUCAAAGAGAAUAUUUCAGUGAUAUAACUCCUAUAAUCAAUGUUCUUCUUCCAAAUGGAUAUUGGACCAAGUGGGAAAUUUGUUGGUACUCGCUUGGUGGGAGAAGCAAGGUAGCUGGUAUGAAGGGUGAAGUUUGUGGCCGCUGGUUUGAAUUCUACAAAGACACAUUUAAGAGACUCUGUUGCAGGACAUCGGAUGCAGUUAUGGAAAAUGGAGCAACCAAAUAGAUAUAGGGUUGUUGUAUUCACCCUUUAAUUUUGCAUUAAGAAAUUGUAACUUUUUUGGAUGUUUUAUAACUGUUAAUUAGACCUUCUUUUUAUUUUGCUACUCUGUUUAGUUACAUGUUUCCUUGAAUUUAUCUAAAAGUUGUACUUUGGCUGUAA